RNAcentral lists this ribosomal RNA (496 nucleotides) under uncultured bacterium. RNAcentral's name for it is "partial 16S ribosomal RNA". It matches the Rfam family "Bacterial small subunit ribosomal RNA", at positions 28 to 506 of the family's 1533-position model. The record is from RNAcentral.
GAUGAACGCUGGCGGCGUGCCUAAUACAUGCAAGUCGAACGAACAGACGAGGAGCUUGCUCCUCUGACGUUAGCGGCGGACGGGUGAGUAACACGUGGAUAACCUACCUAUAAGACUGGGAUAACUUCGGGAAACCGGAGCUAAUACCGGAUAAUAUAUUGAACCGCAUGGUUCAAUAGUGAAAGACGGUUUUGCUGUCACUUAUAGAUGGAUCCGCGCCGCAUUAGCUAGUUGGUAAGGUAACGGCUUACCAAGGCAACGAUGCGUAGCCGACCUGAGAGGGUGAUCGGCCACACUGGAACUGAGACACGGUCCAGACUCCUACGGGAGGCAGCAGUAGGGAAUCUUCCGCAAUGGGCGAAAGCCUGACGGAGCAACGCAGCGUGAGUGAUGAAGGUCUGCGGAUCGUAAAACUCUGUUAUUAGGGAAGAACAAAUGUGUAAGUAACGAUGCACGUCUGGACGGUACCGAAACAGAAAGCCCCGGCUAACUACGU